UACGUAGGGUGCAAGCGUUGUCCGGAAUUAUUGGGCGUAAAGAGCUCGUAGGCGGUUUGUUGCGUCGGCUGUGAAAUCCCGAGGCUCAACCUCGGGUCUGCAGUCGAUACGAGCAAACUAGAGUGUUGCAGGGGAGACUGGAAUUCCUGGUGUAGCGGUGAAAUGCGCAGAUAUCAGGAGGAACACCGGUGGCGAAGGCGGGUCUCUGGGCAGCAACUGACGCUGAGGCACGAAAGCGUGGGGAGCAAACAGG
Molecule: ribosomal RNA, 253 nt
Filed under: uncultured bacterium
Lineage: Bacteria
Description: partial 16S ribosomal RNA
Rfam family: Bacterial small subunit ribosomal RNA
Source: RNAcentral